UUAAUUAGCAGUUUGCCAUUAGCCUCAUCUCUCCCGCUCAAUUAAACCCCAGAACCCUAAAAAAAAAAAAGCUCCUAAAGUUAACCCUAAAAAUUUAUCAAAGGAAAGAGAGAAUUUACGAAUCCCUGAUGGAAGAGGAGACGAUUUCGACAAGAACCAUGGUUGAGGCCUCUUUCGAACGCCGCGGAUUCAUCUGAAACUGGUCAAUUGCAUUAAAAUUGCCUCCAGUGCUAUCAUUGGUUUCAUCAACUACAGUUCUUAGCGUCCAUUGGCGAUCAUUAGUCAUUACAGAGGAGCUUAAUGCUAAUCAUUGAGGUUGCAUAGACUAGACUCUUUCCUUUGGCACCAUGGGGAAAGCUCAAAGAGGUUAUCUUUUAUCUUUCUUUCUUCCUUUUUUCUCUCAUAAAAGGCAACUUUUUUCGUAGUGGAUGUCAAGGAUUUUUUGGUGACAACAGCAAAGGUUUCUUGUUGUAACCGUUUCUGGCAGACAAUGCCCAAGUUUGAUUAAACUUUUGCUUUUGUGAGCUCACUCACGUCACAGCUGCUGCUUUUGCAUCUCCAUGAAUACUUCAUCACAACAGCAGGAUCAUAAAGAGAUAACUACACAGCGGACACCUUGCUCAAUAAUUUUGCUGUCAAUGGAAGAAAAAGGGUUGAAGACAAUUUGAUUUAGGAAACUAGUAUUCGGUAAAUUCCCAAAAAACAUCGCAAGAAUUAGAGCUAAAUCUCUGUAAUAUAUGUUGCUGUUGCCUUGUAAGUUGUAACCGCUAACUGUUGAGGGUGAGGAUAGUGGUUUAGUUCCAUGGAUCCAUAGAGUUGUCAUUAUUUGAUUACAAUCAUAAAUGUAAUGCGGAAUGCAACUGCUACCGUGAAAUUUAGGAGCAUUUUUCCCACAAGGCAACGACGGUAGAUUUCUUCAAUGUACUAUAUCUGUUGGAUCACAA
Long non-coding RNA from Asparagus officinalis (garden asparagus), 944 nucleotides. RefSeq lists it as uncharacterized. The transcript has 2 exons. NCBI's taxonomy places the organism in Eukaryota, Viridiplantae, Streptophyta, Magnoliopsida, Asparagales, Asparagaceae. The record is from RefSeq and is a predicted model, not a curated record.